This 617-nucleotide long non-coding RNA is filed under the name Phoenix dactylifera (date palm). RNAcentral's name for it is "long non-coding RNA (PDAC_LNC019675)". Lineage: Eukaryota; Viridiplantae; Streptophyta; Magnoliopsida; Arecales; Arecaceae. The record is from RNAcentral.
ACGUUUGAUCUUAUGAUUUCCUUAAAAGAUGUUUUAAUAUUAGUGAUAUUUCAUCAUCCAUGAUGGUAACACAACUUAGAAAAAGUGGGAAUCUCAGGGCAUGAUAGGGUUAGUUACACAUCUUCGAAUAAGUUGGGAUCUCGCAGCAUGACAGGGUUUGCAUGAAGAGAGGUUACUGCUGUACAUCAGCAUUGAAGGUCAACAUCAACCUAGAAUGGUGCAUAAGAAUACGAGGGAAAAAAAGGUAGAAACCUUCGAUAUUUGCAUACUGUAUGAUGGUAGGCAUCACAGGCAUACCAAGCUAGAACUGUGCAUUAGAGUACAUGAAACACAGGUAUGAAUAAUAGAUAUUAUAAUAACAUAUGAUGUGUGACAUAGAUUCGCACCACAAAUAAACAAUGAGAUACCAAAAGAAAGAAGAGAUCACUAAUAUUAUUGGUAAGAUCCCAGAUACUCCGUUAGAUCAAGUGAAUCUGCUUGGCAAAUCAAGAUAUCCUGGGCUCAAGUGCAACAAUGGACUUAAGAGCAAUGACCACAGGAACAGCAAUUGCAUUUGAGGAUGCUAAGGUGCACAUUUGCUUCUUUGGCCACUUCUAGCAGGUUAAAUCAAGAUAUCG